This 253-nucleotide ribosomal RNA is filed under the name uncultured bacterium. RNAcentral describes it as "partial 16S ribosomal RNA". It matches the Rfam family "Bacterial small subunit ribosomal RNA", at positions 524 to 776 of the family's 1533-position model. The record is from RNAcentral.
UACGUAGGGUGCGAGCGUUACUCGGAAUUACUGGGCGUAAAGCGUGCGCAGGCGGUUCGUUGUGUCGGCGGUGAAAGCCCCGGGCUUAACCUGGGAAUGGCCGUCGAAACUGGCGAACUGGAGUGUGGCAGAGGGGGGUGGAAUUCCGCGUGUAGCAGUGAAAUGCGUAGAGAUGCGGAGGAACACCGAUGGCGAAGGCAGCCCCCUGGGCUGACACUGACGCUCAGGCACGAAAGCGUGGGGAGCAAACAGG